AUGCUUCAUUUUUUCAUUGUCUUUGUGCUUUCCAUAUCUGUUCCUUCGGUGGCGUGCGCUUCUACAGCAAAUGGCAGCAGCACCCUGACAGAAGGCCAAGAGCUCAGCGGCGGCAACAGGCUCAUCUCAAAGAAUGGCAAGUUCGCGUUGGGCUUCUACACGUCAGGAAGCAGUAAGUCUUCCUCAGACACCACCACCUUCCCCAACUGGUAUGUAGGUAUAUGGUUCAACAAGAUCCCAAAGUUCACUCCUGUAUGGAUUGCGAACAGAGAAAAACCAAUCACUGACCCAAAGUUUAGACUGUCCAAGCUCAGAAUCUCAAGGGAUGGCAAUCUUGUCAUCUUAAACCAUGCGACUAAAUCCAUAAUCUGGUCCAGUCAAAUAAUAGCAGCCAAAGGUAGAAGAACAGCUAGCAAAAAUACUACCAUCGUGGCGGCGCUCUCAGAUGAUGGUAACCUUGUCAUAAGAGACGACUCGAACCCAUCCAUCGUGUGGUGGCAGAGCUUUGAUCACCCAACAAAUGUUUUCCUGCCCGGUGCAAGGAUUGGCCGGAACAAGGUUACUGGCCAAAAAUACAGUCUUGUUUCGAAGAAGAAUCUGAUAGAUCCAGCUCCAGGCCUAUACUACAUGGAGCUAGACCCCACUAGUGAUCCGCAGUACUUUGUUAAGCUCUGUAAUUCAUCCAUGGUGUACUUCUCCACGGGGGAAUGGAUCGGGUGGUACUUCAAUUUGGUGCCGGAGAUGUCAGGCAAUAACUUUCUCCAUACCAAAUUCAUCGACAAUGAUGAAGAGGAGUACUUCACCUAUGCCCCGACGGAUCCAACAAUGAUAACAAUCUGCUUCCUUGACGUCUCUGGUCUUACCAAGCAACUUCUUUGGCUUGAAAGCUUGCAAGAUUGGGAAACCAUAUAUGUCCAACCGAGGGCUCCAUGCGAUGUUUUCGCCGUUUGCGGGCCUUUCACGGUCUGCAACGACAACGCACUUACAUUGUGUCUGCAUGAAUGGGUUCUCUGUGAAGUCACCAGAGGAUUGGGUGCUGGAUGA
RNAcentral lists this ribosomal RNA (1044 nucleotides) under Triticum aestivum (bread wheat). RNAcentral's name for it is "partial small subunit ribosomal RNA". Lineage: Eukaryota; Viridiplantae; Streptophyta; Magnoliopsida; Poales; Poaceae. The record is from RNAcentral.